This 1392-nucleotide ribosomal RNA is filed under the name Orbilia trapeziformis. RNAcentral's name for it is "eukaryotic LSU rRNA". The record is from RNAcentral. Lineage: Eukaryota; Fungi; Ascomycota; Orbiliomycetes; Orbiliales; Orbiliaceae.
GUAUUAAAUCGCAAGUCAGCGUAGCUGGCAACACUUUCGAAUUGCGGGAACUCCCUAAAGCCCUCUCUACCAAACUGACAAGGAAACUUGGUCAGCGGCCUGUGCUAACCACACAGGGUACGGUAAUAACGAGUUUGGGAUAAGCUGAAAAGCAUCAAUGGGUGAUCCGCAGCCAAGUCCCUAAAGCAGCUACUGCCAUGGGAAAGGUCCACAGACUAAGUGGAAGUGGGUUGAACCUUUACCGGUUCAGCUUAAGAUAUAGUCGGGCUCCGUAGGAAACUACAGAGGAGUUACUUUCCGCAUGUAAACCGUUCCGUAGGUGAACCUGCGGAAGGAUCAUUAUGAUAAACAUUCUGUUGCCUCGUGCAAUGGUUAAACCCUUUGUGAACCAAACAUUUAUUAGCUUCGGUAGCUUGCUGCAGGACUUCUGGUUCUGUUGUCUGUUAGCCUGCCGGCAGCACCCAAUAAACUUGUUAUUUUAAAUUUUAGUCUGAACAUAAAUUUUCGAAUGAAAAUCAAAACUUUCAACAACGGAUCUCUUGGUUCUCGCAUCGAUGAAGAACGCAGCGAAACGCGAUAGUUAAUGUGAAUUGCAGAAUUCAGUGAAUCAUCGAGUCUUUGAACGCACAUUGCGCCCUUUGGGUAUUCCGAAGGGCAUGUCUGUUUGAGCGUCAUUACAACACCUCGUAACCAAUUAGUUUUGUGAACGGUUUUGAGCUCUGGCUGUCAAAAAGCCUGGCUUUAAAGUUGAACGCUCUGCGGGUCACACUGCCAAACUAUACAUAGUAAAACUUAUUCUGUACUGUUAGAAAGUGAUGGCUUCGCCUGAACAACAAACCCAUUUUUAAGGUUUGACCUCAGAUCAGACAAGGAUACCCGCUGAACUUAAGCAUAUCAAUAAGCGGAGGAAAAGAAACCAACAGGGAUUGCCUCAGUAACGGCGAGUGAAGCGGCAACAGCUCAAAUUUGAAAUCUCAGGUAUUCUACUUGCGAGUUGUAAUUUGAAGAGGAUGUUUCGGUUGUGACCUUGGCCUAAGUUCCUUGGAACAGGACGUCGUAGAGGGUGAGAAUCCCGUACACGGCUGUAGGUUUACUUCCAUGUGUAACUCCUUCGAAGAGUCGAGUUGUUUGGGAAUGCAGCUCAAAAUGGGUGGUAAAUUUCAUCUAAAGCUAAAUACUGGCGAGAGACCGAUAGCGCACAAGUAGAGUGAUCGAAAGAUGAAAAGCACUUUGAAAAGAGAGUUAAACAGUACGUGAAAUUGUUGAAAGGGAAGCGUUUGCAAUCAGACUUGCUUUCGGUUGAUCAACGUUCCUUUUGGUUCGUGCACUCUGCCGUUCGCAGGCCAGCAUCGGUUAGGACGGUGGGACAAAGAYUCAAGGAAUGUGGCUUUC